AAUCAACGCUGGCGGCGUGCCUAACACAUGCAAGUCGAACGCGAAAGGGGAGCAAUCCCUGAUUAGAGUGGCAAACGGGUGAGUAACACGUGGGUGACCUGCCUUCGAGUGGGGGAUAACCUUCCGAAAGGAGGGCUAAUACCGCAUGACAUACCGUGUUUGGAUACACGGAUAUCAAAGCCGGGGAUCGCAAGACCUGGCGCUUGGAGAGGGGCCCGCGUCCGAUUAGCUAGUUGGUGAGGUAAUGGCUCACCAAGGCUACGACGGGUAGGGGACCUGAGAGGGUGGCCCCCCACAAUGGAACUGAAACACGGUCCAUACACCUACGGGUGGCAGCAGUAGGGAAUAUUGCACAAUGGGCGAAAGCCUGAUGCAGCAACGCCGCGUGUGCGAUGAAGGCCUUCGGGUCGUAAAGCACUUUUCUGAGAGAUG
This 432-nucleotide ribosomal RNA is filed under the name uncultured bacterium. RNAcentral describes it as "bacterial SSU rRNA". It matches the Rfam family "Bacterial small subunit ribosomal RNA", at positions 32 to 447 of the family's 1533-position model. The record is from RNAcentral.